This 5643-nucleotide unclassified non-coding RNA is filed under the name Lucilia cuprina (Australian sheep blowfly). RNAcentral describes it as "sialin, transcript variant X1". Lineage: Eukaryota; Metazoa; Arthropoda; Insecta; Diptera; Calliphoridae. The record is from RNAcentral.
AGUAACAGACAUUUGGGGUUUUAGUCGUUUGCAGAGACUCAAAAGCUUUAGACGGUUUGCAAGUGUUACAAGCUGCAAAAUUUAAUAAAAAUAAUAAUAAAAAAACGCUAAAAUACAAACCUACCUACCAAUAACAAAUAAAACAUAAAUACAGUUUCAAACACGAUAUUGCCAAAAAGGAAAACAAUAAAAAAGAAUUACUGGUUUAUGAGAAACUACAACAAGUUAUAUAAAAAAAAGAAAAAAACUAGAUAGAAAACAAUAGAUUUCUAGUGAGAAAGUUCGAUAGAAAAGUGUAUUUAUUGAAGUAAUUUAAGAAACUUGAAAUUAAGCAGCAGAAAUCAAACCGUCUAAACCUAUUGUGUUUAAGUUUUAUGGAGGAAACUUUUUAACAAGCCGAUUUGUAAUAAACGACUAGAGGAAAUCAUGAACGAAGAACCUGUAAAGAAUGGAAAAGAUAAUAAUCAUCAAUUGGAAUCAUCAACAUAUGAUCCUAAUGAGAUUGUUGAAGCAGAACCACUUUCUUGGAGAUUUUGGCGAAAACGUCGUUAUAUAGUCGUCUUGUUGGCAUUCUUUGGUUUCUUCAAUGUCUAUUCUUUGCGUGUCAAUUUAAGUGUGGCCAUUGUGGCUAUGACAGAGAAUCGUACUGUGAUCGAUGAAAAUGGCAAUGAAUCAUGGGAACAAGAUUUCCCUUGGGAUCCUAAGCAGAAGGGUCUGAUAUUAAGUUCCUUUUUCUAUGGUUAUAUAAUGACUCAGUUUAUUGGCGGUUUUAUAGGAGCUAAAAUUGGUGGUAAUUUGGUUUUCGGUAUUGGUAUUGGAACGACAGCCAUCUUGACACUAUUCACACCCAUGGCAGCUAAACACAGUUUGGAAAUGUUGCUGGCAGUGCGCAUUAUCGAAGGUAUCUUUGAGGGUGUUACCUUCCCCUGUAUACAUGCUGUAUGGUCACGCUGGUCACCACCACUUGAACGUUCUCGCAUGGCUUCCAUAGCUUUUGCUGGCAACUAUGCUGGUACUGUUAUUGCCAUGCCCUCGUCGGGACUCUUAGCUUCAGCCUACGGCUGGGAAAGUGUAUUUUAUGUAUUUGGUGUUAUUGGUUGCAUUUGGUUGGUGUUAUGGUUGGUUAUUGUACGUUCGGGACCCGAUAAGGAUCGUUUCUGUUCGGAAGAUGAACGUAAUUAUAUUCAGAAAACAAUUGGUAUUACUGGACAACAAAGAAUUAAACAUCCCUGGAAGGCCAUAUUUACUUCAUUGCCAUUCUAUGCCAUUGCCGUUUCACACUUUUCAGAAAAUUGGGGUUUCUAUACUUUAUUGACUCAAUUGCCAACAUUCCUUAAAGAUACCUUAAACUUUAAUUUGGAUAAAACUGGUUUUCUAUCAGCUGUGCCAUAUCUUACCAUGGGUAUAUUAUUGGGUGUUUCAGGCUAUUUAGCCGAUUGGUUGCAAGUCAAGGGUUAUUUGACCACCACACAAGUAAGACGUUACUUCAAUUGUGGUGCUUUCUUGGCUCAAACUGUUUUCAUGGUACUCACCGCCUAUUUAUUGGAUCCCACUUGGUCCGUGGUGUGUAUAACCAUAGCUGUAGGUUUGGGAGCUUUUGCCUGGUCUGGUUUUGCCGUUAACCACUUGGAUAUUGCUCCCCAACAUGCUAGUGUAUUGAUGGGCAUUGGCAAUACAUUUGCCACCAUACCCGGUAUUGUUAGUCCCAUGUUGACCGGUUAUUUGGUACAAAAUCAAACCAGUGAAGAAUGGAAGACUGUAUUCUUUAUUUCUGCUGGUAUUUAUUUAGUAGGCUGUGUUAUCUAUUGGAUGUGGGCCUCGGGUGAAUUACAAGAAUGGGCUAAAUCACCCGAACAAAAAGCUCUCGAAAUGACUAGACAAAAAGCCGUUACCGAGGGUUAUGUCAACGAAGCCUUAGAGUGCAAAGAUGAAGUUAAAGAAAAUCAUAGUUAAGUUUAAACAUCCACACACACACCAGUAGUUUUAGGUUUUUAAAGAAUUUCCUUUUGUAAUAUAUACAAAAAAACGAUAUAUCACACGAUAAACAAAAAAGUAUUGUAAAUAAUCAUUUUAUAUAUUUUAUUAUAAGAAUAUAAUUUAAAAUAGAAUUUAUUUGUUUUAAAUUCUUAAUAUAAUAUUCAUUCAACACACUUUUGUUGUUUUUCACACUUCGUCCGCUUUAGAGAGGUCAAUACACUGUGCACAAAUAUUUGCAAGCAAAUAAUCAUUUAGCCAUAUAAUAAAAAGAAAAAAUUUUUAAGAAAGAAAAAAAUCUCUGCAAAUUGCAUUCGCAAUGUUUUGAAUCAUCAAAAGAAAUAAUCAAAUCGUAAAAAGAAAGCAGUGAAAAACCAAAAAUAAUUUCAAUUAAAUGGGCAGAGGAAAAAUGUGUAGGUAGAGAUAAACAAAAUAUAAAUUUUUUGUUCAAAAUUUGUUUACCAUAAAAUUUGAAGUGUAAUUUUGUGCUAAGGUGGAAUUUUAAAUGACCCUUUAAACAUCAUUCUAGAAAGAACUCUUUAAAUUAACCCACAAACCGAAGAUACAUAUGUUGUACAAUAUGGCUUAAUUACGAUAUUGUAAUGGGUUUUAAAUACGAAAGCAUAUUUGAUUUCGUAUGACUGAAAUAAAUCCAGAAUUAAGUUCACAAUGGUUAAUCCCCAAACCGAGACUAUACAAAUUUACACAUUUCAGUCAGUCAAAUCGAGUAAAUAUAACAAACUUAGAGUGAGAUUAAACUAAAACCUAGCAGAAACCCACUGGUCCAAAAGUUCGUUGGAGGAGAGCGAUCGUUGAAAUGAAAAUCAGUUUCGCUUCUUACUAUAAAUUUCCUACAUAUGUCAACCAAAAUAAGCAGUUUAAGUAUUCAGUUCCUAAUAACAUCAUAUAUUAAAUUAGACAGACUACAGACGCGAAAGCUUUAUUUCAAAGUCGACAUAUUGGACUUCCAGAUGUCAUGCCAAAUUUUAUAAAUAAAGGUAUUUUCGUGAAUUAUAAUAUAGCCAAAAUCGGGUUAUUUUCAAAUCUUAGGACACAAUAUCUUGAAAUACUGAAAUACAUUUCAAUGAUCAAUCUAUGAUUAUUCGAAUAAAUCACAAACAUAAAAUUAUCUAUCAUUAGCGUAUAAUCAUGAUGACAGUUAUUACAGGAUAUCCCGCAGCGAAGUUAAAAAUUUUACUUUUUUCGGUUUAUCCUUAUAAUUUUAAACGAGUUUGAUUUCUUUUUACAAUAAUAACAAUUGGAAAUUCGUUAAAAAAUUUAGUGAAAUAUUUUGCAAUAAAUUCGUGAUUUUAGGUUAAUGUGUUUUUUUUUACUUUUAACAAUAUUUGUUCUUCAUACAUCAUGAUACAUAAAACCUAUUUGCUAAUAUGAAACUUUGUAAGCAAUAAGAUCCUCACAAGGACAUUUCUCAUAGUUCCAAUUCACUGUCGGUAUCGUAUUGUUGUAUCAUCAUAUGUUAUUAAUAUUUCGCAGACAAAGUUUUUUGACAUAAAAACAAUAAAAAAUAAAAUAGUGAAAACUUACGACAUACAACGUUACGGCAGUGAUUGUAUAAUAUUUUGAAUUCAUGGGAAUGUAAAAAUAACAAACAAAACUUGAAUUCAAUCCGAAAUAUUUUACUGCGUUUUUAGCGAAUUCACUGUUUUAACCGAAAAAUUGUAUUAUUGGUUUGUGUUGGUAGUACUUUAUGGAAAAACUCUAAUAAAUUUAGCACAAAGUUUUGUUAUCAGAAUAAAACAAUCUAGGCAAUCUAGUAUUACUGCAAUAACUGUCAUCAUGACUAUGCUUUUUAGAAAGAUAAUUUUAUGUAGAUUUCCAUGUUGUUAAAAAAAAACUUUGGAAUUUAAUUCCAGUUCUGCAAAAUUUCGUAAAAAUUUCAAAAAAGUGGCGUAAACAUUGUCUGUACAAAAAUAAUGCAAUAUCUCAAAAACUAGAGCUAACCGAAAAUUGUUAUAAAGAUAGGAAUUAGCUUAUUUUAUUUAAAAGUCAAGCAAAAAUUCGAUUUUGUUGACCUGUACAUUUUAUUAAAAUAUCCACUCACCCUUUUAAACUCUGUUGUUAUUUUGACAAUGCAUCGUUGAUAUUUUGAAAACGUAUCGUUGUUAUUACAACAACGGAUUGUUGUUAUUUUGCAAAUGCAUCAUUUUGAUUUCGACAACGCAUCCUUCUGUUUAGAAACACAUCGAUUUCAAACCGAAAUGAUACUCCAUUUAAAUAAAUAUUAAAAUCAUGAACGAUCGAUUUGACAACGUCAUAUGUAACUUAUUAUUUUUAGUUGAUUAAAUAACUAUUCGCACAUCUUUAGGCAACGGAUGUUAUUAAAUAUUUAUAAACAAUUUGGUGUGGAUUUGUCACAAAGCGUGUUUAUAAUUUAAAACAGGAGCGAUGUAAAAUAUAGAAUUUAUCAAGGCAAUCUGAAUAUUCGAGAAAUGUGCGAAAUAGGUUUUCAUUAGAAAAAUAUUUCUAUUGUCCUUCAUUAAAAUUCUUUUCAAAUAAAAUUAAGUAGAAUUUAUAGAGAUUGUGUUGGUCAAUUGACCUAAUUAUAUAAAUUCCAUUCAUAAAAUCUAAUUCAGUGUGUCACAUUUCUUGAAGCAAAAAUCCAAAUGAAAAAAUUAGAAUAAUAACAUAUUGAGUUAAUAGAAAACAAUAAGGGUAGAAACGAAUUAAAUGAACACUAUAGACCCUAAAACCAAUAGGGAAAUUUUUCGCUGUACUUUAUUUAAAAGGCGCAAAUUCUGACAAAAGGGGCCACGUGUUCGUUUAUUUGUUUAUUUACCUUACGUACAAAGUAAAAAUAAACAAAAGGUAAAUUGUUUACUUUGAAUGUUGAAAAUGUUUUCAAAAAAAAAAAAAAUAUUCCAAAUAUUUAAUUUUAACAAGUAUUUUCUUAAAACCCACAACAAAUUACAAAAUAAAAUCACAUUUUUUUAAUUAAAAAAAAUAUUUUUAAAUGAAAUAUUUUGCGAAUCUUGUUCAUUUGUUCAUUGACUCACUAUAGUUUUCAUCAAAGGAAUUUUUAUGAAUGUGAAAACAUAUGGGAAUUUACAAAAACAACAAAAAGAAAAACAAUAACACUAAAAUAAUAAUAACAACAACCAAAAUAAAAACUACAACAGCAAAGAAAACGUCAGCAGCAAUUUUCACAACAGCAACAAGAAAAAUUUUAAUGAAAUGAAAAGCAUUGCUCUGCGACUGCUCUCCGCUUAUUGUAAACACAAUAUUGGAAUUUCUAUAAUUUUGGCAAAAAGCCAAGAAUAAUUUUAAUUGAAAUUAAUAGUCAAAUUCUUAAGAUUCUUAAGGUGUAUAAACAUAUUUUUAAACAUUAUUUACAGAAUGUUCUUUUUUAUUUUUUUUUUUUAUUUUUUGCGUUUUUCUUUUAAUAUCUUUAUUUUUGGCCAAAUCACAAAAGAAUAUUGACUGGCAGAUUGAGUGGGGAAAUUAGUGAAUGUUUGUUUAUAGAUUGGGUGUUAUGGUCCUUUUCCAAUCUCCUCACGAACUUAUUCUAGCCUCAUAUGAGGAUACGCUACUUCCAACUAAUAGCGUCAACUUUCAUUGUGAACGGACGUGUUAUCAAGAGUUCUCUAGAAAAUCGCAGUUUUUAGUGGUUUCAAGUGAAGUGUUAAAUAUAAAAAAUUUACCAAUAAAACA